GGUUUAUGAGUGCACAGGGUGUGAUUUCUGUGCUGUUUGGGGUAUUUUUUUGUCUGUAGUGCUUGAACACUGCAAAACUCACUGAUUUCAGAGCUGGAUUAGUCCCUUGGUUGUCCCCUGUGGGAAUGGCUUU
Molecule: long non-coding RNA, 133 nt
Organism: Strigops habroptila (Kakapo)
Lineage: Eukaryota; Metazoa; Chordata; Aves; Psittaciformes; Psittacidae
Exons: 3
Source: RefSeq, a predicted model, not a curated record